Molecule: ribosomal RNA, 406 nt
Filed under: uncultured bacterium
Lineage: Bacteria
Description: partial 16S ribosomal RNA
Rfam family: Bacterial small subunit ribosomal RNA
Source: RNAcentral
AUUGAACGCUGGCGGCAGGCCUAACACAUGCAAGUCGAACGAGUGGCGGACGGGUGAGUAAUGUGUGGGACACUGCCUGAUGGAGGGGGAUCACUACUGGAAACGGUAGCUAAUACCGCAUACCAUCGGAUGUGCCGAGAUGGGAUUAGCUAGUAGGUGGGGUAACGGCUCACCGAGGCGACGAUCCCUAGCUGGUCUGAGAGGAUGACCAGCCACACUGGAACUGAGACACGGUCCAGACUCCUACGGGAGGCAGCAGUGGGGAAUAUUGCACAAUGGGCGCAAGCCUGAUGCAGCCAUGCCGCGUGUGUGAAGAAGGCCUUCGGGUUGUAAAGUACUUUCAGCGGGGAGGCGUUACCCGCAGAAGAAGCACCGGCUAACUCCGUGCCAGCAGCCGCGGUAAUUC